UGGACAACCUAACCUAUGGAGGGGGAUAACCCCGGGAAACUGGGGAUAAUACUCCAUAGACUAUAAAUGCUGGAAUGCUUUGUAGUUGAAAGGUCCGCCGCCAUAGGAUGGGUCUGCGGCCGAUUAGGUUGUUGUUGGGGUAACGGCCCAACAAGCCUGUAAUCGGUACGGGUUGUGGGAGCAAGAGCCCGGAGAUGGAUUCUGAGACACGAAUCCAGGCCCUACGGGGCGCAGCAGGCGCGAAAACUUUACAAUGCGGGAAACCGUGAUAAGGGAACUCCGAGUGCCCGUAAAAUCGGGCUGUCCAUCUGUGUAAAAAACAGGUGAAGAAAGGGCCGGGCAAGACCGGUGCCAGCCGCCGCGGUAAUACCGGCGGCUCGAGUGGUGGCCACUAUUACUGGGCUUAAAGCGUUCGUAGCUGGUCUGUUAAGUCUCUGGGGAAAUCUACUGGCUUAACCAAUAGGCGUCUCAGGGAUACUGGCAGACUAGGGACCGGGAGAGGUGAGAGGUACUCCA
RNAcentral lists this ribosomal RNA (516 nucleotides) under uncultured archaeon. Its description in RNAcentral is "bacterial SSU rRNA". It matches the Rfam family "Archaeal small subunit ribosomal RNA", at positions 101 to 622 of the family's 1478-position model. The record is from RNAcentral.